This 76-nucleotide transfer RNA is filed under the name Shewanella maritima. RNAcentral's name for it is "tRNA-Gly". It matches the Rfam family "tRNA". Rfam says of the family: Transfer RNA (tRNA) molecules are approximately 80 nucleotides in length. Their secondary structure includes four short double-helical elements and three loops (D, anti-codon, and T loops). The record is from RNAcentral. RNAcentral also lists the same sequence under 1 other name. Lineage: Bacteria; Pseudomonadati; Pseudomonadota; Gammaproteobacteria; Alteromonadales; Shewanellaceae.
GCGACAUUAGCUCAGUUGGUAGAGCGAAACCUUGCCAAGGUUUAGGUCAUCGGUUCGAACCCGAUAUGUCGCUCCA